UCUCCGUCUCUCUCUCUCCAUCUCUCUUUCUCUCUCUCUCUCCUUCCCUCUCUCCCCGUGUCUCUGUCUCACGCGCGCGUGGUGGAUUUAUACCGGGAAGCGGCUCGGUUCUGGAGGAGGAUUUUAGUUCGGUUCCGGUUUUUGUUUGUGUACGGUUGGAAAUAAGCCUUUAACGGAGCCUGUUGUGGAUUAACGUGACUGGCUCCUGUUCCGGAGCGGCUGUGCACGCGCGCAGAUAGAUUUAUAAGCAGACGAGUUUCUCUCUCAGGACUGGAAACCACACUGGACUUCUUCUUUUUUGUCGUCUUCUUCCCUUCCCUUUUGGAUUUUGGACUUUUUCUCCCGCUCUGAUUGGCUCUCCUGCAUCACCCGCGUGUGAUUGGACGGUGUCCGGGAGUCAAGGACCUCUGAGGGGGUCCACCCCCGCCUCCGACUUCCUGUUUACUUCCUGAAACACAGUGAGCACUUCCUGUUCCUCCACGACUGUGACCUGUCUGGCCAGAGGCUUCAGCUGUCUCUCUGCACAGAUUUAAAGACUUCACCGCCCACUAUGACCUGCUGACAUCACCAGACCCCCACCCUCCUCCUCCCCC
Perca flavescens (yellow perch) is the source of this 593-nucleotide long non-coding RNA. RefSeq lists it as uncharacterized. The record is from RefSeq and is a predicted model, not a curated record. The transcript has 4 exons. Lineage: Eukaryota; Metazoa; Chordata; Actinopteri; Perciformes; Percidae.